RNAcentral lists this ribosomal RNA (463 nucleotides) under uncultured bacterium. Its description in RNAcentral is "partial 16S ribosomal RNA". It matches the Rfam family "Bacterial small subunit ribosomal RNA", at positions 28 to 523 of the family's 1533-position model. The record is from RNAcentral.
GAUGAAUGCUGGCGGCGUGCCUAACACAUGCAAGUCGAGCGGCAGCGCGGUCUUCGGACCGGCGGCGAGCGGCGGACGGCUGAGUAACGCGUGGGAACAUACCCCAAAGUGAGGGAUAACCGCCCGAAAGGGUGGCUAAUACCGCAUAUGGUCUUCGGAUUAAAGGAUUUAUCCGCUUUGGGAAUGGCCUGCGUACGAUUAGAUAGUUGGUGAGGUAAUGGCUCACCAAGUCGACGAUCAUUAACUGGUCUGAGAGGAUGAUCAGUCAGACUGGAACUGAGACACGGUCCAGACUCCUACGGGAGGAAGCAGUGAGGAAUCUUCCACAAUGGGCGAAAGCCUGAUGGAGCAACGCCGCGUGCAGGAUGAAGGCCUUCGGGUUGUAAACUGCUUUUAUGAGUGAAGAAUAUGACGGUAACUCAUGAAUAAGCACCGGCUAACUACGUGCCAGCCGCCGCCGUAA